RNAcentral lists this ribosomal RNA (497 nucleotides) under uncultured bacterium. RNAcentral's name for it is "partial 16S ribosomal RNA". It matches the Rfam family "Bacterial small subunit ribosomal RNA", at positions 28 to 507 of the family's 1533-position model. The record is from RNAcentral.
GAUGAACGCUGGCGGCGUGCCUAAUACAUGCAAGUCGAGCGAACAGAUAAGGAGCUUGCUCCUUUGACGUUAGCGGCGGACGGGUGAGUAACACGUGGAUAACCUACCUAUAAGACUGGGAUAACUUCGGGAAACCGGAGCUAAUACCGGAUAACAUAUUGAACCGCAUGGUUCAAUAGUGAAAGGCGGCUUUGCUGUCACUUAUAGAUGGAUCCGCGCCGUAUUAGCUAGUUGGUAAGGUAACGGCUUACCAAGGCAACGAUACGUAGCCGACCUGAGAGGGUGAUCGGCCACACUGGAACUGAGACACGGUCCAGACUCCUACGGGAGGCAGCAGUAGGGAAUCUUCCGCAAUGGGCGAAAGCCUGACGGAGCAACGCCGCGUGAGUGAUGAAGGUCUUCGGAUCGUAAAACUCUGUUAUCAGGGAAGAACACCUGUGUAAGUAACUGUGCACAGCUUGACGGUACCUGAUCAGAAAGCCACGGCUAACUACGUG